Ixodes scapularis (black-legged tick) is the source of this 232-nucleotide long non-coding RNA. RefSeq lists it as uncharacterized. The record is from RefSeq and is a predicted model, not a curated record. Lineage: Eukaryota; Metazoa; Arthropoda; Arachnida; Ixodida; Ixodidae. The transcript has 3 exons.
GUUGCCGCUCUAUAAACGAUGAUGACAAAUACAACUCCCCGAUUCCAAUCAUCCCACCACCAGUCUUUGGGUUACCGAAGCACGACUUUGAGGAACAGGUUUUGGACGACGACUACCGAAAAAAAGACACAGAAGUGGACGAGUACAAUGGUGAUGAUUCCCAAGAGAACGAGGUCCCUGCCAAAAGAAUUGGCAUGAAGGAAGCCGAGCAUAGGAGGGAGGUAAUUCAAAU